Molecule: long non-coding RNA, 2804 nt
Organism: Equus caballus (horse)
Lineage: Eukaryota; Metazoa; Chordata; Mammalia; Perissodactyla; Equidae
Source: Ensembl
AUCUACGUUGUUAAGCUCACUUCAUAAUAUUCUUUUUUUUCACAGCAAAACUUUCUCAAUGCAGAAGGUAGUGCAUUUUUUUCACCAUCCUCGUGUAGUAACAAAUAGCCUGUGGUCUGACAGCUCGUUUGUUGACCCCACAUUGAGUAGCACUGCAUACAUUUCCAUUUAUGAAACAGGUGUUGUAUAUUAAUAAAUAUUAAAAUUCUUUAUUAGGAAAACAGCAUGAAAAAUAACAUAAUAUUUAUUGCUUUUUGUAUUUAUUUAGAUCUCAUUCAUACAAAUAUAAUCUAAUAAAACAGAUCAAAUCUGAGUUUUACUUCUUCAAAAUUCUUCAAAUUUUUAUUAUUAUACUAGUUUAUGAAUUGCAUCACAAGGUAAUAGUAAAUAUUUGUUAGUCCAUUUUUUAUUCAGAAAAGCCUAUUUAUUUUCUAUUCAUGCAUCUCUUCUCUAAUUACUUUCUACAAAUAUACAAGUUAUAAUAAAAAUAUUCUCCUUUCAUGUUUUUUCCUUGCAACUCAUGUCCAAAUAUUGUGAUGUCUAAUAGUUAUAAGUCAGAAGAUCCCUGAUUACUCCAUUUUUUUUGAAAAAUAAAUGGUGAAGAACUUAACCUCAGAUUAAUUUACAUUUCACAUAUCUGAAAUUAAGUUCGUUUUAUCCAGGUAAGUGAAAUUUAAGGUUGAAUUGUCAGUUAGAAAUUUGCUUUUCACCCAUCAUCAAUUUAUUUUUAUACGUGAUCCCUCAAUAAACUGUAGAUCCUUAUGGUUCUAAUCUUUCACGUUUUACCAACAAAGAUAUGGAAAUAGGAAAUACUCUCAAGCCAUUCUAGGACUGGCUUAUGUAGUGCUUUCCUGUAAUGUGACCGCACAUUUCUACUGACCACAGCUAUAGUUCUAGCCCUGAGCUCCCUCUGGGACUUCAGAGAGGAAUAGGGUAUGACCUCUGGCCAGUAGCAGGCUUUAAUCACAGAAUUUCACAGUAAAUAUUGUGGAUGUGCUUUCUGAGAAAUAAGUAUAAGAAAGAGUAUAAUUUCAAGAAUUUUACAAUUGUGUAGGUGUGACCAGAUACACGCAUACGAAUAUAUGAUAAAUAGUAAGUAUAUGUGACUCGACUGGAAAAUUGAAUAGCAUAUUAAAACGCUAAUUAAGUGUUACACACACACUAAGACAUUUGAUAAGUUGGUUAGAGAAGUUUCCAGAAAGAGGUGAGAAAUUAAGAAUGACAAAUUGCAUAGAAACAGAAUUAAGUAGGGAACAUUGGACGAAUUAUGAGAAAAAAAUCUGCCUGAUAGCAAUGAAUAAGGAUUUGUUUAUAGGAGUAAACAAAGAUUUUUUUUACAUUCUAUUAAACAAAAUUUAGCUGUUAUAAACCUACCCCAUUAAUCUAUGCAAACUUUACCAAACUUCAGUACUUUAUUGCAUGGUUAUUAUUUCUUCAUUGCUAAUUUCCACUUGUUUUAAAAAAGGGCCAUAAUAUAAAAGAGGCAUGUGAAAAUUGCCAUCCUAGCUCCACAAACUGCAACAGUGAGAUUCUAUUUCCCAGGAGUUUUGAAUUUAGAUAAAGAGAAACUGCAUUAGUUAGGGGAGAAAGCUUGUAGUCAACACAGAAUCAACAGCUAUGACUGCCAUUUGCAGGGGGGUGGGGGGGGUGGGCAAUCAAAUUAAACCGUGUGCAAGUAAGACUAUAUGAGUCUGUCUGUAGAAGAGGAACAAAAAUGAGACAGAAAUCAGUAGAUUAAAUUAGAGAUCUUGAAACCAUGAAGAGAGAGAAACUGAGAGUUUUCCUUUCUUCAGAACCCGCUUGCACAUUUCUACUCUGUUUCAAUUGAUCUCUCUCUUCUCUGAACUGAAAUAGAACUUAUUCAAAUUAUUUUUUGAUGCUAAAGUAUCUAUUGCCUCAAGGUCUUUCAUGCCUAAGUUUUACUUGAAAUUUAAACCUUUUGUGGUUAUUUAUAUAACUUGCAUUUUUUGACAUUUUUAUUUUAUGGAAAAAUCUUUUGUAUUUCUUAAGAUUUUCCGUUGGUUUUACAUUUUAGAAACGCAAAGUUAUUACUCCACCUUAUUUUCACACUGUGAUAACUUCAUAGAGACCAUGGACCUAGUUUGUUACAUAUGAUCACAAUUUUUAGUCCCAUGAAUAACGAAUUGAGGAUUUCCAGUUGCAGUGACAUAAAAUACAGUAAAAGUAGACCAAGAGCCCCAUUGUUUACAUUUAAAAGAUAUAAUGGGUAACUUAAAGUUACGUAUAGACAUAAUAGUUAAUAUUCAGAGUUCAGAUUGUCCUCAAAACAUAAUAGAAGCCAGGCAUGAGUGAAAUCUUUCAAAGAUUCAAUUUUAAAAUAAGUAAGCUGAGGCUGUAUGUUUAUCAAAUAUUAUAAAUUCCAACCCUUGAACAACUUGCUGUUUCAAGAAUCACUUAUCAAAAGACCAACUCCUGUUCUAGGCAAAACACAUGAGAGCAUAUGAGAAGAAACACUGCAGAAAAUUUCUUUAGUCCAUCAUGACAAAGUUAUUUUGAACAGGUGUGUUUAUAAUCGCAAGAAACUGAGAAAAUCAGUCUUUAAUGGCAAACUCCUAUUUUCAUUUCUUAGGAACCUAGAGCUAGAAUAUAAAACACAGGGAAUUUGGCAGGAAGAGGUCUUGUUAGAGCAUCUUAUGCACCUCCUGCGGACAUUAUUUCCCUGUGAUACUCCAGUUCCUUCAUUCUGUUAUUGUUUUAAGGCACAUUAUAAAGACAACAAAGUAGGCAUUUCUAGGGCUACAGAAUCUUGUGUGUGGCAGCAAAGUACAUUAUCAAGAAGCCUC